GGGUGAUCUCCCUUGGUUUCCGGAACCUUCUCUCUCACGCGUGUCACCUACGCGCGCGGCGGGCGGCGCGUGCGCGCGGACGAGCUGCCCGGAGCCCGUCGGGCCUGCAGUCUCGCACCUGGCCGAAAGGGGCCGCUCUGCUGGCCCACAUUCUACGUGAAUUUACCUGGACACGCUCAGAGAGAGAAAAUUAUAGUGCUAAGUGAAAGAAGCCAGACUCAAAAGUCUGUAUGAUUUCAUUUAUACGACAUUUUGGAGAAGGCAAAACUACAGCAGCAGAGAAUAGAUGCCAGCGGCUGGAUUGACCACAAAGGGGCUCGAAGAGCAGCAGAGACAGGGAGCUCACUCCCAUCUGGUGGUGCUGGUUCUGGAACUGUAUGCAUUUGUAGAAACUCACACAACCAAAAACCAAAAAGUGGGAAUUUCACUGAGUGUAAUUAUUUUAGUUUUUUAAAUAUGUUAAAACCAGAAAGCAGAUUGGUAGUUGCCAGGGCCUGGGAGAAGGAGGAAUGAAAGUGACUUGAAGAGUAAGGGGUUCAUUUUCCAGUGAUGGAGAUGUUUUAGAACUAGGUAGGCUGCAUGACAUUAUGACUGUACUAAUUGUUCACUGUAAAAUGGCAAACUUUGUUAUGUGAAUUUCACCUAAGAAGACACGUCUAAAAAUUAAAAAAAAAAAAAAAAUGAGCAGGCUCCUUUCUAUUUGAUAAGCUCAUGUCCAGAGGCAGUGGGAAGUGAGAUGUGAAGCAGCUCUUCUAGUCGGCCUCAGUCUCUGUGCAUUUGCCACCUGAGUGUGAGGUACAGCAAGCAGG
This is a non-coding RNA of Microcebus murinus (gray mouse lemur), 809 nucleotides long. The record is from RefSeq and is a predicted model, not a curated record. NCBI's taxonomy places the organism in Eukaryota, Metazoa, Chordata, Mammalia, Primates, Cheirogaleidae.